Galeopterus variegatus (Sunda flying lemur) is the source of this 3737-nucleotide RNA transcript. It is a transcript of the gene named lethal giant larvae homolog 1 (Drosophila), with no coding region annotated. The record is from RefSeq and is a predicted model, not a curated record. The transcript is spliced from 23 exons. Lineage: Eukaryota; Metazoa; Chordata; Mammalia; Dermoptera; Cynocephalidae.
CCUUUCCCUUCAUUCAGACUGUGGAACAUGGCUUCCCCAACCAGCCCAGCGCCCUCGCCUUCGACCCCGAGCUUCGCAUCAUGGCCAUUGGCACCAGGUCUGGGGCUGUCAAGAUCUAUGGUGCACCCGGCGUGGAGUUUACGGGCCUACACCGUGAUGCGGCCACUGUCACCCAGAUGCACUUCCUGCCCGGCCAGGGCCGCCUCCUGACCCUGCUGGACAACAGCAGCCUGCAUCUGUGGGAGAUUGUCCACCAUAAUGGCUGUGCCCACCUGGAGGAAGUUCUCGGCUUCCAGCUGCCCAGCCGGCCAGGCUUUGAUGGUGCCAGUACCCCUUCCAGCCUCACCCGUGUCACGGUGGUCCUGAUGGUGGCUGCGGGCGAUACUGCCGUCCUGGGCACUGAGGGCGGCAGUGUCUUCUUCCUGAACGUUACUACCUUGACGCUGCUCGAGGGGCAGACCCUCAGCCCAGACGAGGUUCUGCGAAGCGUGCCAGAUGAGUGCCGGUGCGGAAAGGCACUGGGCCCCGUGGAGUCGCUCCAAGGACACCUGCAGGAGCCCACCAAGAUCCUCGUUGGCUACAGCCGGGGUCUGCUGGUUAUCUGGAACCAGGCCACACAGUGUGUGGACCAUGUCUUCCUGGGUAACCAGCAGCUGGAGAGCCUGUGCUGGGGGCGUGGUGGAGGCACCAUUGUCAGUUCGCACAGUGAUGGCAGCUAUGCCAUCUGGUCCAUGGACGCUGGCAGCUCCCUGACGCUGCAGCCCACGGUAGCCACCACACCCUACGGCCCCUUUCCCUGCAAGGCCAUCAACAAGAUUCUGUGGCGGAACUGUGAAUCUGGGGGCCACUUUAUCAUCUUUAGUGGUGGCAUGCCCCGUGCCAGCUAUGGCGACCGCCACUGUGUGAGUGUGCUGCAGGCGGAGACACUGGUGACUCUGGACUUCACCUCCCGCAUCAUUGACUUCUUCACGGUGCACAGCACGCGGCCUGAAGAUGAAUUCGAUGACCCCCAGGCCCUGGCUGUGCUGCUGGAAGAGGAGCUGGUGGUGCUUGACCUGCAGACGCCUGGCUGGCCGGCCGUGCCUGCCCCGUACCUGGCCCCACUGCACUCGUCUGCUAUCACCUGCUCAGCCCAUGUUGCCAACGUCCCCGCCAAGCUGUGGGCCCGCAUUGUGAGCGCUGGAGAGCAGCAGAGCCCCCAGCCUGGCUCCAGCACCUCGAGCUGGCCCAUCACUGGGGGCCGGAACCUGGCACAGGAGCCAUCGCAGCGAGGGCUGCUGCUGACCGGCCACGAGGAUGGCACCGUACGGUUCUGGGAUGCCUCGGGUGUGGCACUGCGACCGCUCUAUAAGCUGAACACGGCUGGCCUCUUCCAGACAGACUGUGAGCACGCCGACAGCCUAGCCCAGGCUGCUGAGGACGACUGGCCACCCUUCCGCAAGGUGGGCUGCUUCGACCCCUACAGUGAUGAUCCCCGGCUCGGAGUGCAGAAGGUUGCCCUCUGCAAGUACACAGCCCAGAUGGUGGUGGCUGGCACUGCAGGCCAGGUGCUGGUGCUGGAGCUUAGCGACGUGCCGGAGGAGCAAGCGGUCAGCGUGGCCAGCGUGGACCUCCUCCAGGACCGCGAGGGCUUCACGUGGAAGGGCCACGAGCGGCUGAGCCCGCGCACAGGGCCACUGCUAUGGCCUGUUGGCUUCCAGCCCCGCGUGCUGGUGCAGUGCCUGCCACCAGCUGCUGUCACAGCUGUCACACUCCACACCGAGUGGAGCCUUGUGGCCUUUGGCACCAGUCAUGGUUUUGGCCUCUUUGACUACCAGCGGAAGAGCCCUGUGCUGGCCAGGUGCACCCUUCACCCCAAUGACUCCCUGGCCAUGGAGGGUCCGCUGUCCCGGGUGAAGUCACUCAAGAAGUCACUGCGCCAGUCUUUCCGGCGCAUCCGUAAGAGCCGUGUCUCAGGCAAGAAGCGGGCUGCUAAUGCCAACAGUAAGUUGCAGGAAGCCAAUGCACAGCUGGCGGAGCAGGCCUGUCCCCACGACGUGGAGAUGACGCCUGUGCAGCGCCGUAUUGAGCCCCGCUCUGCCGAUGACUCCCUCUCAGGUGUUGUGCGCUGCCUCUAUUUCGCAGACACCUUCCUUCGAGAUGCCCACCACGGGCCCACCAUGUGGGCAGGUACCAACUCGGGCUCCGUGUUUGCCUAUGCACUGGAGGUGCCGGCAGCAGCAGUUGGCGUUGAGAAGCGGCCCGAGCGGCCAGUGGAGGCCGUGCUGGGCAAGGAGGUGCAGCUGAUGCACCGGGCACCUGUGGUGGCCAUCGCCGUGCUGGACGGGCGUGGCCGGCCACUGCCUGAGCCCUACGAGGCCUCGCGGGACCUGGCGCAGGCGCCCGACAUGCAGGGCGGUCAUGCCGUGCUCAUCGCGUCUGAGGAGCAGUUCAAGGUGUUCACACUGCCCAAAGUGAGUGCCAAGACCAAGUUCAAGCUGACGGCCCACGAGGGCUGUCGUGUGCGCAAGGUGGCACUGGCCACAUUUGCCAGCGUGGCCUGUGAGGACUAUGCCGAGACCUGCCUGGCCUGCCUCACUAACCUGGGUGACGUCCAUGUCUUCUCCGUGCCUGGCCUGCGGCCCCAGGUGCACUACUCCUGUAUCCGGAAGGAGGACAUCAGCGGCAUCGCCUCGUGUGUCUUUACACGCCACGGCCAGGGCUUUUAUCUGAUUUCUCCGUCGGAAUUUGAACGCUUCUCUCUAAGUGCCCGGAACAUCACAGAGCCACUUUGCUCUCUGGACAUCAGCUGGCCCCGUGAUGCCACCCAGGCCAGCUACAGGCUCCAAGAGUCGCCCAAGCUGAGCCAGGCUAACGGGACCCCGAGCAUCAUCCUGGCCCCGCAGAGCCACGAUGGAAGCCCCGAUCCUGCCCACAGCAAGGGAGCUGACACCCCAGAGCCACCUGAGGCCAUACUCUCACCCACAUCUAUCGACUCGGCCACAAGUGCUGACACCACGCUGGACACAACAGGGGACGUCACGGUGGAGGAUGUGAAGGAUUUCCUGGGCUCUUCUGAGGAAUCUGAGAAGAAUCUGAGAAACCUUGCAGAAGACGAGGCCCGGGCCUGCACCAUCCUGAUCAAAUGAGGAAGGCCAGAACUCCCAACCACCACUUGUCCUGCUUGCAGCUGGGGUCCUGGAUCCCUGGCUCCUGCCUGGCCCCUUAACACAGACUGACACCUGCUAACCUGUGGGCUCCGGUGGGCCCUGCCGUCCUCUCCGUGCCAACCCUGGGCCCCGGAGUAGUGCACUUGGGGGCACUCAAGCACUUGGCCCAGGCAGCUUGAGUCCUCCAGGCAGUUAGCUACGCUGGGGGCUUGCUGCCCAGGGAAGGUGACAGGUGGGACUGGGUGGCCCAUGCCACCUCCCAUUCCACACACCAUCCUUUCCCCUCCCUUUGCAAAGAGUAUUUUUCUAAUGCUGGGGCUGGACAGUCAUUUCUAGAACUAUUUUGGUAUUUGCUCCUGGACCAGCUCCCCCCUACCCCCAGCCUGUGCAUGAGUGCACACAUGAGAGUGUGUGUAACUGGGAUCUCCACUGCACACCCGCAAUUGGGGCUCAGUCAGGUGUGUGUAUGGGGGGGGGGGGUUCAGGAUGGGUUUCCCUGUAGAUUGUACCUUGGGGUUCUUUUCUGUCAUUUUGUUAAAAUUAGCACUGUUUUAAUAUUAAAAUGCUGAUUUUUAAUAUUGAAAAUAA